Long non-coding RNA from Sapajus apella (tufted capuchin), 1702 nucleotides. RefSeq lists it as uncharacterized. The record is from RefSeq and is a predicted model, not a curated record. NCBI's taxonomy places the organism in Eukaryota, Metazoa, Chordata, Mammalia, Primates, Cebidae. The transcript is spliced from 2 exons.
AGUAUCUUAUUGCUCCCAAAUCGUCUGUUUGUCCAUGCUAAUAUCUUGGUUUUAAUGUUAAUGCUCAUCAGUUGUACCUAAAUUCCGAAGGGAGGAAAGUAUAAUGAGGCAUGUGUAAUGACCACUCCUUCCCAUCAUGGCCUGAGCUAGUUUUUCAGGUUUCUUUGGAAACCCCUUGGUGGGGAGGAGGAUCCAUUCAGUUCAGAGAGUGGGAAUUUUUAUUGUCUUUUAUUUUGGUUUCUUAACGUUAUUUUGUUUCUUAAACUUUAGCAUGGAUAAAAAUAAAUGAAAAUGUUUUAAAAUUACUAGUAAUCUAUAUUUUGAACCAAAUCUGCAAGUGGUACUGAAGUAGAGUUUCUGUGGACCACACUUUUGAAAAACCCUAUAUUACAGGAUAAGUAAUAUUCCCUGGGUCCCACAGCUAGAAAGUGGCUGAGCAAGAUGUAAAUUUAGGUGUGUCUCAUUCCUGCUGCUCUCUCCAUACUGGCCUCCAUGAUGCUUUGUACUUGAAUGAAGGUUCAAUGAUUACCUUGCUUGUCUUAGACAUCUAAUUCUAUAUCUCUAUCUGACAUCUUUACAAUUAGUAUUAGCCUUCUGUAACUUUGUACUUUAAAAAGUUUUAAACAUAAUACAUAAUUUUUUUUCUGUUCAUAAUAAUCAAUAUAAAGAUAUACAAAGCAAAUAUCCAAGAACCAUUUAGCCCUUUCUUUUUGCCCUCCCCUGGAUAACUGCUGUUCCCAGUUGAGAUUGCAUUUUUUUUUAAUGUGUGUAUUUUUUUAUAUAAUGUAUAACUUUAAAAACAUUAAUGCAUUGAGUAUUUUACUGCAUAUCAAUUUCUUUCCUUAGCAUUUUGAAUGAAUUCACUUUGGAAUCCUCAUAACACCUUGUGAGUCACUAUUACCAUGUGUCUUUAUCAGGUAUCCAGGAAGCUGAGAAAUAGAGGUCAUAAAACUGAUUGGUAGAAGAACAAUAUUUGGACCGAAUAGUUUGACUCUAGAACUCUUAUAUGCCAUACUAAGGUGUUCCUUAAUUCAGCAAUGAAAAACAUAUGUUCUAAGUAUUCAUAUGUGACUUUCAGAAAAGUUAAGUAUAUCUUCAAGAUACUAUCUUGUCAGUAAUGACAAAUCUACUUCAUCCUUUUAAAUGACUGUAUAGUUUUCCAGAGUAGGAAUGUGGUAUAAUUUAUUGAAUUAUCAUCUUACUGAUGAACACUUAACCUCCUAAAAUAUACAACACUUCCCCAAAUACAACAAAUCCCCCCCCGACCAAAUUUUUCACUUUUAUAAACAAUACAACAACAAAAUGCCUUAUUGUACAAGUGGGAGAAUUUUUUCAGGUCAGUUGAUUUUAAAGUGAAUUCAUAGCCUACCUACAUCUGAGAUCACCCAGGGUGCUUCUUUUAAAAUGCAGAACAUACUUUCGAGGAACACAUAAUCAUCACGUUGUAAACUCUUUCAGAACCUGGAGAAAGAUAGAAAUCUUCUUAAUUUAUUCUUAAAGCUAUAGGAUUGAUUGUAAAAAUUAGAUAAAGGCAUCACAAAGAAGAAAAUUAAAGGCUAAUCUCAUUGAUAUUGAGAAGAAGUCUUAGCAGAUCAAAUGUACCUAUGCUUCCAAAGAAUCACAAAUUAUAGUUAAAUAGGAUUUAACCCCAGGAAUGCAAAGAUAGUUCUAGAACCUCAGAAACAAAACAAAAACACUAACA